UCCGGGUGAGUAACACGUAGGAAACCUUCCCUCGAGCGGGGGAUAACGUCCCGAAAGGGACGCUAAUACCGCAUAUGCCCACGUUGACUUCGGUCGAUGAGGGGAAAGCUGGCCUCUGUAUACACGCUAGCACUCGAGAAUGGUCCUGCGGCGCAUCAGCUAGUUGGUGGGGUAACGGCCUACCAAGGCGAAGACGCGUAGCUGGUCUGAGAGGAUGAUCAGCCACACUGGCACUGAAACACGGGCCAGACUCCUACGGGAGGCAGCAGUGGGGAAUAUUGGACAAUGGGCGCAAGCCUGAUCCAGCCACGCCGCGUGAGUGAUGAAGGCCUUCGGGUUGUAAAGCUCUGUGGGGAGGGACGAAAACGGCCAGGAAGAAACGCCUGGUCCUUGACGGUACCUCCUUAGCAAGCACCGGCUAACUCUGUGCCAGCAGCCGCGGUAA
RNAcentral lists this ribosomal RNA (445 nucleotides) under uncultured delta proteobacterium. RNAcentral describes it as "bacterial SSU rRNA". It matches the Rfam family "Bacterial small subunit ribosomal RNA", at positions 100 to 523 of the family's 1533-position model. Lineage: Bacteria; Deltaproteobacteria. The record is from RNAcentral.